GAACGGGUNAGUNACGCGUAGGUAACCUNGCUUAUAGCGGGGGAUAACUNUUGGAAACGAUAGCUNAUACCGCAUNAAAGUGGUUNACCCAUGUUAACCAUUUAAAAGGAGCAACAGCUCCACUAUGAGAUGGACCUNCGUUGUAUUAGCUNGUUGGUAGGGUNAAGGCCUACCAAGGCGACNNNNNNNNNNNNNNNNGAGAGGGUGAUCGGCCACACUGGGACUNAGACACGGCCCNGACUCCUACGGGAGGCAGCAGUAGGGAAUCUUCGGCAAUGGGGGGAACCCUNACCGAGCAACGCCGCGUGAGUGAAGAAGGUUUUCGGAUCGUAAAGCUNUGUUGUUAGAGAAGAACAGUGAUGGGAGUGGAAAGUCCAUCAUGUGACGGUAACUAACCAGAAAGGGACGGCUNACUACGUGCCAGCAGCCGCGGUNAUACGUAGGUCCCNAGCGUNNUCCGGAUUUAUUGGGCGUNAAGCGAGCGCAGGCGGUUUGAUAAGUCUNAAGUUAAAGGCAGUGGCUCAACCAUUGUAUGCUUUGGAAACUGUUAAACUUGAGUGCAGAAGGGGAGAGUGGAAUUCCAUGUGUAGCGGUNAAAUGCGUAGAUAUAUGGAGGAACACCGGUGGCGAAAGCGGCUCUCUNGUCUGUAACUGACGCUGAGGCUNGAAAGCGUGGGGAGCAAACAGGAUUAGAGACCCUNGUAGUCCACGCCGUNAACGCUNAGUGCUAGGUGUUAGGCCCUUUCCGGGGNUUAGUGCCGGAGCUAACGCAUUAAGCNCUCCGCCUNGGGAGUACGACCGCAAGGUUNAAACUNAAAGGAAUUGACGGGGGCCGCACAAGCGGUNGAGCAUGUNGUUUAAUUCGAAGNAACGCGAAGAACCUUACCAGGUCUUGACAUCCCGAUGCUNUUCUUAGAGAUAAGAAGUUACUUCGGUACAUUGGAGACAGGUNGUGCAUNGUUGUCGUNAGCUCGUGUCGUGAGAUGUUGGGUUAAGUCCCGCAACGAGCGCAACCCUNAUUGUUAGUUGCCAUCAUUAAGUUGGGCACUCUAGCGAGACUGCCGGUAAUAAACCGGAGGAAGGUGGGGAUGACGUNAAAUCAUCAUGCCCCUUAUGACCUGGGCUACACACGUGCUACAAUGGUUGGUACAACGAGUCGCAAGCCGGUGACGGCAAGCUAAUCUCUGAAAGCCAAUCUCAGUUCGGAUUGUAGGCUGCAACUCGCCUNCAUGAAGUCGGAAUCGCUAGUAAUCGCGGAUCAGCACGCCGCGGUGAAUACGUUCCCGGGCCUUGUACACACCGCCCGUCACACCACGAGAGUUUGUAACACCCGA
This 1334-nucleotide ribosomal RNA is filed under the name Streptococcus equi. RNAcentral's name for it is "16S rRNA". It matches the Rfam family "Bacterial small subunit ribosomal RNA", at positions 100 to 1424 of the family's 1533-position model. Lineage: Bacteria; Bacillati; Bacillota; Bacilli; Lactobacillales; Streptococcaceae. The record is from RNAcentral.